GUCCUGCAUUGUGCCUGUUGCUUACCGGGAUAGACUCUGGCUGCCCUCCGACCCUGCAUUGGAUAAAGCAGUAAGAAGAUGGAUGAAAGGAUGGAUAAAUAACUGGGGAAUAAGUAAAUAAGUGGUUGGGAAAGUCCUGUUCAAAAUAAUGGUCAGACCCUAUGUGAUUCAGGUCUUCAUCAUACAGACAUACAGGAAUGACUCGGAGAACCAGACGCAAUCAUGGGAAUCACCAUAAUGGGAAGUAGCUAAGGCAUUCAAGGCCCAUCUCUCCACUAACUCGAAGGCCUCGGCAGCAGUAGUGAGGAACAGGAAGCAUCCAUGUUGGACGAAGACUCAAGAACUGGAACCAAAGACCCACCAAGACACACCGAAAGACUGAUGUACCAGGAUCCUUUCACAACCUCAUCCUGAAGACUCUUAACUGAAAGGCCUAGAGUGUUGAUAUUGGCUGUCCAGUGCUCUAAGCUUGGCCUUUAACUGCUUCGUGCAGUUUGCCUCAUCUGCUAUAUGUCUCUGGACUUUGUUGCUGGGUACAAAU
This is a long non-coding RNA of Lepisosteus oculatus (spotted gar), 541 nucleotides long. RefSeq lists it as uncharacterized. Lineage: Eukaryota; Metazoa; Chordata; Actinopteri; Semionotiformes; Lepisosteidae. The record is from RefSeq and is a predicted model, not a curated record.